This 498-nucleotide ribosomal RNA is filed under the name uncultured bacterium. Its description in RNAcentral is "partial 16S ribosomal RNA". It matches the Rfam family "Bacterial small subunit ribosomal RNA", at positions 28 to 507 of the family's 1533-position model. The record is from RNAcentral.
GACGAACGCUGGCGGCGUGCCUAAUACAUGCAAGUCGAACGAGAGCAACCGGUGCUUGCACUGGUCAAUCUAGUGGCGAACGGGUGGGUAACACGUGGGUAACCUGCCCAUCAGAGGGGGAUAACAUCCGGAAACGGAUGCUAAAACCGCAUAGGUCUUCGAACCGCAUGGUUUGAAGAGGAAAAGAGGCGCAAGCUUCUGCUGAUGGAUGGACCCGCGGUGCAUUAGCUAGUUGGUGAGGUAACGGCUCACCAAGGCCGUGAUGCAUAGCCGACCUGAGAGGGUGAUCGGCCACAUUGGGACUGAGACACGGCCCAAACUCCUACGGGAGGCGGCAGUAGGGAAUCUUCCGCAAUGGACGCAAGUCUGACGGAGCAACGCCGCGUGAGUGAAGAAGGUUUUCGGAUCGUAAAACUCUGUUGUUAGAGAAGAACAAGUGCUAGAGUAACUGUUAGCGCCUUGACGGUAUCUAACCAGAAAGCCACGGCUAACUACGUG